AAUUUAGGGAUAUGUUCCUCAACUUGAAAAAGAAAUGCAUAGACGGUGUGGAAGGCAUCCCCUUUGUUGGAAUAACAAAGGAGUUUCUUGAAAAACAGCUGAACUGUCUAUGUACCAGAUGCAAAUAUCUAGAGACAGCUUUACUAGAUAAAAAACGGGAGCUGGAAUAGUUUCAAAAGAAGUACAAUGGUAUGGUAAAGACAGGAGCUCAUUGGACCAGUGAACCAAAUUAUCGAAAAGGCUGGCAAUGAAGUAUAAGAGAUAGGUCAUCUAAAAUCUAGAGUGAAAGACAUUCAACUCAAGGGAGAAUAAAUAACAGACUGUGACACUUGCACUUCGAUUAGUUGAUCAGUAGUGUAUGAUGAUAGCAAUAAAUCAGUGAUACAGCACAUAAAAAAGUGAUAAAUCAAAAAAGUGAUAAAUCAAAAGUGAUACAGCACAUAAAAAAGCAGAAAUGACUUUGAAACCUAACAAAGACAGAAAUGUUAAUUUCUUGAAAGCAAUGGUUAAAAAAAGUGAAAAUGAAAAAGAAACAUAUGCCAGACAGUUCGACCAAAGACUGCAGCCAAUGAUUGAUGAAGUUGAAAAGCUUAAAACUGAGCUUGACUACUUCAAAAAACAGGACACAAUCAAGAACAAACGGAUCGAGGAUCUAACUAAAGAAAACAAAGAACUUUGGCAGAAUAAUGAGAUGCUGUCUUCUGUUGUGGACGACAGGACCAGUAUCUCAGACAGGUUGGACUCGAUAAAAGAUGACAACGAAGCUCUCAUAAAGUUCCGCGCAGAGACGGAGAAAACUCUGGCUGAACUUAAUAGGAAACAUGAAGAAGAUGUUGAAGUGCUGCAAGCACUGCUGGAAACAGAAAAAGAAAAAGUUGCGCGUCAGCAGUUUCACAACAGCCAAGUCGUCGACUUACUGGUGAAACGCCACAAAGAGGAGAAAAAUCGGAUGCAGCAAGUUUAUGACGAAAAUACAUCAAAACUCACAGACAAAGCAUAUGCUGCAGAAACAAAGUUAAAAAUCGUCAUAGGCAUUUAUGAUAAAUAUAUUGCAAAACUUGAGAAGAAAAUGGAAAUUGGUAAAAGUGUGAGCAUCAAUGCAGUCAAAGAACGUGAGGAGGAACAUAAAUCCUCGCAGUUUUGGAUCGAGGGCCUUUUGACGCAUAAUGCAAAGCUGCAGGACCAAAACGAAUUCAUGGGUAAAACGGUGAAAGAUUUAACAGAUGAGAAAGCUCAAAUGGGGAAGACCAUCAACGAAAAAACAGCCCAGCAAAUGGAGAUGAAACAAAAAUGUCAGAGAAAUAUUAGGGCUCUGGCCUUUGAAAAGAAAAUGAAGGCUGGGGUCGAAGAUGAAAAUGAUUCUCUGAAAAAGAAAAAUGAAGACAUAAAAAAGGCCCUAAGCAAAGAGAAGGAAGAACACAGAAAGACAGCAGUACACAGGCAUAAAGUAAAAACGGCACACAAUCAGGCACUGGCUGAAAAGAUCUCACUGGAAGAGCAACCGCGCGCCACAAAAAAGCAAACAGAAAUAUUCACACACAAAACGAAUUGCCUGGAAAAGAAAAAGCGCCACGGCUCAGUUUUUAAAACCUUAGGAUUUAACUACAGCCCAGCUGUAACUUUUAAAACUAGCUACAGCCCAGCCCAUGCAGCAGUAUAUG
Molecule: long non-coding RNA, 1661 nt
Organism: Astatotilapia calliptera (eastern happy)
Lineage: Eukaryota; Metazoa; Chordata; Actinopteri; Cichliformes; Cichlidae
Source: Ensembl